UUAAUUGAAUUGAGCCUUGGUAUGGAAACCCACUAAGUGAUAACUUUCAAAUUCAGAGAAACCCUGGAAUUAAUAAAAAGGGGCAAUCCUGAGCCAAAUCCCGUUUUCCGAAACCAAAGGUUCAGAAAGUGAAAAAGGGAUAGGUGCAGAGACUCAACGGAAGCUGUUCUAACAAAUGGAGUUGGCUGCGUUAGUAGAGAAAUCUUUCCAUCUAAAAUUCCGAAAGGAUAAAGUGAAGGAUAAACGUAUAUAUACGUAUUGAAUACUAUAUCAAAUGAUUAAUGACGACUCGACUGAAUCUGUAUUUUUUAUAUGAAAACGGAAGAAUUGGUGUGAAUAGAUUCCACAUUGAAGAAGGAAUCGAAUAUUCAUUGAUCAAAUGAUUCACUCCAUAGUCUGAUAGAUCUUUUCAAGAAUUGAUUAAUCGGACGAGAAUAAAGAUAGAGUCCCGUUCUACAUGUCAAUGUCGGCAACAAUGAAAUUUAUAGUAAGAGGAAAAUCCGUCGACUUUAAAAAUCGUGAGGGUUCAAGUCCCUCUAUCCCCAAAAAACAUAUUUGAUCCCCC
Molecule: non-coding RNA, 565 nt
Filed under: Randia spinifex
Lineage: Eukaryota; Viridiplantae; Streptophyta; Magnoliopsida; Gentianales; Rubiaceae
Description: partial contains trnL gene and trnL-F intergenic spacer
Rfam family: Group I catalytic intron (bases 1-470)
About the family: Group I catalytic introns are large self-splicing ribozymes. They catalyse their own excision from mRNA, tRNA and rRNA precursors in a wide range of organisms. The core secondary structure consists of 9 paired regions (P1-P9).
Source: RNAcentral